This 904-nucleotide long non-coding RNA is filed under the name Salmo trutta (river trout). Its description in RNAcentral is "lncRNA (ENSSTUG00000023702.1)". Lineage: Eukaryota; Metazoa; Chordata; Actinopteri; Salmoniformes; Salmonidae. The record is from RNAcentral.
GAACGUUCAAUGUACUCGCUAGGAUAGGUCUGUGUCUAGCCAAUGACCUGCCUCGUGCGAAGAGAUUGGUCUUUUCUUAACCAAUGAGGUGACAUGACUAGCUGGCUAGAGAACAAUUAAAAAAAUAGAUAGCCAACAUUCUCUUUGCUGCUAAACUUCUUCUAGGUAAGUGACUGGCCAUAAAUUAUCACUAACAAUUAUUUCCACAGAUAGUCAUAUUUUUAUAGUGGCUAAUAAUUCAAAUGUAUAUUUAUCUUGCUUAUCUCUGUUCACCCUUCAUAUACAGUCAUUGGCUCGCCCUCGUUAACAAAAAACUGGUAAGUUACCCAUAAAGUUAGCUGGAUAGCUAACGUUAUAUCAAUUUUGCUAUGCAAUUAGCUCAACGUAACUAUGUUAAUAUAUUUUAGUUCAAGCAGAGAGCAAGAGGCGAAGCAUGUAGAUAGACACUCGUUGGUUAAAGGCGUGAUAAUAAUUAGCUAGACUGAUGGAUGGCAAACUUCAGCUGGCUAACUUAACUGGCUAGCAAACUAACGUUACCGCGCAAGGGACUGUGAACGUUCAUUUUGCAUCUUUGACGCCCCCUGUGGCAGAUUUGAGCAUGGCACAAGGACCCGCAGGCAGAGACGCGACUCGCAGGAAAAGUAAGGAUCAGCUGGACUGGAGCACAUGCUGGAGCAACAGUCUGAAAGAGAUUGCAGGCCUCCUGCCCAUAUCUAAGCCUAGGAAUGGCCGAGGACUCACCAAGAAGGAGACUCUGGUCCACAUGCUGCGCUAUUUUGACUUUCUUCAGAGUAGGAUCCAGACCCUGCAGAGCCGCUUGCCCCCACACUGCAUCCCCAAACAGGAUCCCGACACAGGUACAACCUCAGCCAAGCAUCAAGACAAGUACAGACUACAUACCUGA